Long non-coding RNA from Teleopsis dalmanni, 664 nucleotides. RefSeq lists it as uncharacterized. The record is from RefSeq and is a predicted model, not a curated record. The transcript has 3 exons. NCBI's taxonomy places the organism in Eukaryota, Metazoa, Arthropoda, Insecta, Diptera, Diopsidae.
UUGAAAAAAUAACAAAAUCGGUUUUCCUAUUUUUUGAGUGUCAAAAGAACAUCUAUACGAUGGCUGCAAAAACUCCCCGGAAAGGUAAAACACCAUCAAAGGACGACGAUAUUCAGAAACAGUAUAAUACCCUCACCAAAACUAAGGCAUUGUUGAAACGUGAUAUUGACCUCGUUACUUUGGAGAAGGAUGCGUUUAAGAGGAAGUUGAUAAAUAUCGAAAACUAUUGCAGAGAUCAUUAUAAGGAAAAUGAUAAGAUUCCUGAAAUCCUCAACAAAGUGUACGAGGGGCUAGAAAAAGCAGGUAAUGCUGGCUUCAAAGCUCCUGGUCAAGAAUCUAAACAGUAGUUAAAAAGCUAUGGUUUCUGUGGGUACAGCAGAUUAAAUAAGUACCAAAAAAAAAAAUCUUUCUUUUUCAAAAUAUAAUAAACGUCGUAAAAUGAUAACCCAAGAACUGAUUUUGAGCUUUAAAUAGAGAUCCUGCCAAGAAACUACUGAUGACAUUCGACAAAAUUUUGUUUUUUGGGUGGUUUUCAGUCUGGUUACUAUUUUAUGCGCUAUAUCAAUCAAUUUAGGGAAUUGAAGUAUUUAUCUUUAUUUUUAAACCUUUACGCGAUAUGUGAAAACUUUGAAAUACAUUGCACCAAUAUUUGCUAUUUCUGAAA